AAUGAACGCUGGCGGCGUGCCUAACACAUGCAAGUCGAGCGAGAAAUCCCGGGUUCGCCUGGGAGAGUACAGCGGCGCACGGGUGAGUAACGCGUGGGUAACCUGCCCUCGAGUGGGGGAUAACCUUCCGAAAGGAGGACUAAUCCCGCAUACGUCAUCAGGACACAAGUCCUGAUGGGAAAGAUGGCCUCUGUUUACAAGCUAUCGCUCUUGGAUGGGCCCGCGUUGGAUUAGCUAGUUGGUGAGGUAACGGCUCACCAAGGCCGCGAUCCAUAACUGGUUUGAGAGGACGACCAGUCACACUGGAACUGAGACACGGUCCAGACUCCUACGGGAGGCAGCAGUGGGGAAUUUUGGGACAAUGGGCGCAAGCCUGAUCCAGCCAUUCCGCGUGCAGGAUGAAGGCCUUCGGGUUGUAAACUGCUUUUGUACGGAACGAAACGGCGAAGCUCUAAUACAGUUUGCUAAUGACGUACCGUAAGAUAAGCACCGGUAACUACGUG
This 503-nucleotide ribosomal RNA is filed under the name uncultured bacterium. Its description in RNAcentral is "bacterial SSU rRNA". It matches the Rfam family "Bacterial small subunit ribosomal RNA", at positions 29 to 507 of the family's 1533-position model. The record is from RNAcentral.